Rosa rugosa (rugosa rose) is the source of this 1110-nucleotide long non-coding RNA. RefSeq lists it as uncharacterized. The transcript is spliced from 3 exons. The record is from RefSeq and is a predicted model, not a curated record. Lineage: Eukaryota; Viridiplantae; Streptophyta; Magnoliopsida; Rosales; Rosaceae.
CCGAGACUUUCUUCACUCCGAGCAAAAUCCCAAGUCUUCCAUCUCUCACUCCCACUUUGGCUUUAGAGCGUUUUCAGCUAGAAAACUUCACACUUCCCCUCUCUCAUUUCACUCCCCUCUCUGCGAUUCUCUGAGUCGCAAACCCUAACCCUCUUUUUUCUUUGAGAUCUGAUUUUCCAAUUUCAAGAUGCGUGCAAUUCUCCUUUCUCCACUAUCUCGACUUGAGAUUAGGGUUCUUCAUACUGAAAAAAAAAAGAGGUUCUUCGAUCUGCUAGUUCUGCGUAUUGGGAAGAAUAAGUUCAUCAAGGAAUGUGAAGGCAGGGUCUUCGAAACCUCCAAUAGAUCUCACGAGUAAGUGGCCGGGGCAUCGAAGAGAUUCAAUGAGAUCAAGAAAGACGAUUAGGGUUUGGGAAAAGAAGGAGGACCAGUUCAUAAGGGCUCUAUCGUCUGCCUCACCCAAUAGACCUGCACCACCGUACAAAUCUGCAGAUGGUGCAGCAGCUGCUUCAUCAGCUCUAAUCGUGCUAGAUCAACCAGGAUUGGGGUUUUCUUUGAUUGAGUUUAUUGGGUUUUGAAGAUAAUCGUGCUAGAUCAACCAGGUAAGGGGUUUUCUUUGAUUGAGUUUUGCUUAAGAUUCAUCUGGCCGUUUUGGGUUUGGUUUGAUGAUCGGGGAUACCGAACUAUAUUAUUUUGGUAUAACCGAAAUUCCCUCUUCUUCUUCUCACCUUGAGACUUGGAUCCAAAUAUGGAAACCAUCUUUAUUUCCGUGAGUCCAUUUCUCAUUUCCAUUUUCUGUGUUUGUCCAAUUCCUUCUAAUGUUUCAAUUCAAAGUAGGAUUAGGAAUGAUCAUCUGAAACAAAAAGGGAACUGAUAGUCAUGUUGGGUAUUCAAGAAAAUUAUAGUCUGCGAGAUGUUUGAAACAUAAUGGGAAAACUAUUGGGUAUGCUAUUGACCUGGGUAUGCUAGAUGCUUCCAUUGGUUUCUUCUUUCUUCUAUGGCCGUAUAACAAAUGAUGAGAAGAGAGAGUUCAGACCCACAGAAUAGCUUGGAGAAGAUCAAGCGCCAGCUUGCUUCCGGUUUCCAUCGGAACUUGCUCCAGGGCCCACUCCU